This 779-nucleotide non-coding RNA is filed under the name Eubasilissa regina. Lineage: Eukaryota; Metazoa; Arthropoda; Insecta; Trichoptera; Phryganeidae. The record is from RNAcentral.
AUAAUUAAAGUUAAUUCUAGCUUUGAUAUUUAUUGUUUAUUUAAUUAAAUUGUAUAUAAAUUUUUGUAUAAAUUAAAUUAAUUUAAAAAAUUAUUGUUUAUAUUAUAAUAUUUAAUAUUAAAAAUUAAAGAAAUUUAGAUUUAGUAAUAUAAAAAUUAUUGAUUAAAUUUGUGCCAGCAAUCGCGGUUAUACUAAUAAUAAAAUAAAUAUUUUUAUUUUAAUUAAUAUAAUUCAUUAAAAUGAAAAUUUAAUUUAUAAGGUAAAAUAUUAAAUUAAAAUUUAUUUUUUUUAUAAAUUUGUAUGAAGUUAAUAAAUAUAUAAAUAAACUAGGAUUAGAUACCCUAUUAUUAAAUUAAAGAUAAAAAAGAUAAGUAGUAUUAGAUAUGUUCUUGAAACUUAAAGAAUAUGGCAGUAUUUUAAUCUGUUUAGAGGAACCUGUUUAUUAAUUGAUAGUCCACAAUUUAUUUUACUUAAUUUUAUUUAAUUUGUAUAUCGUUGUUAUAAAAAUAUUUUUUAGAAAUGAAAAAAUUUUAAUUUUUUAAGAUAAAGUUAUAUCAAAUCAAGAUGCAGUUUAUAAUUAAGAAUUUAAUGGGUUAUAAUAAAUUAAUUUUUAGAUAAUAUGAUGAAAUAUAAUUUUGAAAGUAGAUUUAAAAGUAAUUUAAGUUAAUUAAUUUAAAUGAUGUUAGUUCUAAAAUAUGUACAUAUUGCCCGUCACUUUCAUUUUAAAUUGAAAUAAGUCGUAACAUAGUAGAAGUACUGGAAAGUGUUUCUAGAAAGAU